UAAGGUGUAGCUCAGUGGCAAAGUGUGUGCUCAGCAUGCACAAGACCUUGGGUUCCAUCCUCAGCAGCAUCC
Molecule: transfer RNA, 72 nt
Filed under: Marmota monax (woodchuck)
Lineage: Eukaryota; Metazoa; Chordata; Mammalia; Rodentia; Sciuridae
Description: tRNA.Ala
Source: RNAcentral